AGAGUUUGAUCAUGGCUCAGGACGAACGCUGGCGGCGUGCUUAACACAUGCAAGUCGAACGGAGACCAUGCAGUAGCAAUACUGCGGAAGUCUGAGUGGCGAACGGGUGAGUAACACGUGAGGAACCUGUCCUGGUCUCUGGGAUAACAGUCGGAAACAACUGCUAAUACCGGAUGCCGUCGGAGCGUCGCAUGGCGCGCUGACGAAAGGGUUACCGGAUCAGGAGGGUCUCGCGGCCUAUCAGCUAGUUGGUGGGGUAACGGCCUACCAAGGCAUCGACGGGUAGCUGGUCUGAGAGGAUGAUCAGCCACACUGGGACUGAGACACGGCCCAGACUCCUACGGGAGGCAGCAGUGGGGAAUCUUGCGCAAUGGGCGAAAGCCUGACGCAGCAACGCCGCGUGCGGGAAGAAGGCCUUCGGGUUGUAAACCGCUUUCAGAAGGAACGAAACUGACGGUACUUUCAGAAGAAGGUGCGGCCAACUACGUGCCAGCAGCCGCGGUGACACGUAGGCACCAAGCGUUGUCCGGAUUUAUUGGGCGUAAAGAGCUCGUAGGCGGUUCGGUAAGUCGGGUGUGAAAACUUUGGGCUCAACCCAAGGCGUGCACUCGAUACUGCCGUGACUGGAGUUCGGUAGGGGAGCGGGGAAUUCCUAGUGUAGCGGUGAAAUGCGCAGAUAUUAGGAGGAACACCGGUGGCGAAGGCGCCGCUCUGGGCCGAUACUGACGCUGAGGAGCGAAAGCGUGGGUAGCAAACAGGAUUAGAUACCCUGGUAGUCCACGCCGUAAACGUUGGGCACUAGGUGUGGGUCUCAACCAACGAGAUCCGCGCCGUCGCUAACGCAUUAAGUGCCCCGCCUGGGGAGUACGGCCGCAAGGUUAAAACUCAAAGGAAUUGACGGGGCCCGCACAAGCAGCGGAGCGUGUUGCUUAAUUCGA
RNAcentral lists this ribosomal RNA (938 nucleotides) under uncultured bacterium. RNAcentral describes it as "bacterial SSU rRNA". It matches the Rfam family "Bacterial small subunit ribosomal RNA", at positions 8 to 954 of the family's 1533-position model. The record is from RNAcentral.